RNAcentral lists this ribosomal RNA (460 nucleotides) under uncultured bacterium. RNAcentral's name for it is "partial 16S ribosomal RNA". It matches the Rfam family "Bacterial small subunit ribosomal RNA", at positions 338 to 795 of the family's 1533-position model. The record is from RNAcentral.
CCUACGGGUGGCAGCAGUGAGGAAUAUUGGUCAAUGGACGAGAGUCUGAACCAGCCAAGUAGCGUGAAGGAUGACUGCCCUAUGGGUUGUAAACUUCUUUUAUAAAGGAAUAAAACGAGGCACGUGUGCCUUUUUGCAUGUACUUUAUGAAUAAGGAUCGGCUAACUCCGUGCCAGCAGCCGCGGUAAUACGGAGGAUCCGAGCGUUAUCCGGAUUUAUUGGGUUUAAAGGGAGCGUAGAUGGGUUGUUAAGUCAGUUGUGAAAGUUUGCGGCUCAACCGUAAAAUUGCAAUUGAUACUGGCAGUCGUGAGUACAGUUGAGGUAGGCGGAAUUCGUGGUGGAGCGGUGAAAUGCUUAGAUAUCACGAAGAACCCCGAUUGCGAAGGCAGCUUACUAAACUGUGACUGACAUUGAUGCUCGAAAGUGUGGGUAUCAAACAGGAUUAGAUACCCUGGUAGUC